RNAcentral lists this ribosomal RNA (254 nucleotides) under uncultured bacterium. RNAcentral's name for it is "partial 16S ribosomal RNA". It matches the Rfam family "Bacterial small subunit ribosomal RNA", at positions 524 to 776 of the family's 1533-position model. The record is from RNAcentral.
GACGAAGGAUGCAAGCGUUAUCCGGAUUCAUUGGGUUUAAAGGGUGCGUAGGCGGCCUAAUAAGUCAGUGGUGAAAUCUCCUCGCUUAACGAGGAAACUGCCAUUGAUACUGUUGGGCUUGAGUACAGAUGCUGUGGGCGGAAUAUGACAUGUAGUGGUGAAAUACAUAGAGAUGUCAUAGAACACCGAUUGCGAAGGCAGCUCACAAAAACUGUAACUGACGCUGAGGCACGAAAGUGCGGGGAUCAAACAGG